UCUGACUUUUUUUCCUUCUUUGUUUUCAAAUCCCCACCUCCAUUGAUUCACUUUGUUCACCUUCUUCUUUCAUUUUUCUGCUUCCACCGUCACCUUCGCCUUUUCUUUCGUUUCCAUUGUCUUCUUUCUCCCACCCAUCUAUAUGACCAAUUCCGACGAUCACUCUCCUUCCCCAAAGAACUCUCCCAAACGCAUUAACAUGAAUCCUCCCAACAACCCCAAGAUGCGAUCUUUUCAGCAAGAUAUGCUAGAUCCCUAUUAUAUGCAUCCCAGUGACAACCCUGGGUUAUCGAUUGUCACUCCUCCCCUCAACAACACCAACUUUCAUUCAUGGUCCCGAUUCCUGAAAUUGGCUCUCAUGUCCAAGAACAAAUUAUGGUUUAUUGGUGGAACCCUAAAUCGUCCAGACAUUUCUGAUCCCAACCAUGUCCUCUGGAACCGCUGCAACAACAUGGUCAUGGCAUGUGUAACGCUCGGAAAUUCGAUUAUUCGCUUAAUUUAGACGUUUGGAGUGUUUAGUGAAAUUUUUCGUAUUUUGUGACGAUUUAGUCGGUAUUAGUUCGGGAUAGCGGAUCGACAAUUAAUUGAGAUUUUUAAUAUUUUUAGUAUUAGAAAUAUUAUUAGAGUGUCGCGUAUUAUUUUGGGAAUUUUUAGAGCAAAUUAAAUUAGACUGUAAAAUAUGAGGUGAUAAGUAAAUAGAGAGUUUUAAUAAGAUAAAAUUAAUUGGGCUUAAUGUUGUGUUGCUCGUGUGAAUUAGUUUGGCCCAAAGUAGAAUUAGUGAGGUAAUAUCUUAGGUUUAGAAACAGUCAGUAAAGGCAUAACUUUAGAAGAGGAAGCAAUUAGCAGAGAAUUGAGAGAGGCACAGUGCACGCGUAAGAAAGAAGAAUUUUGGGGAUUUUCGAUCGGGACGAAUUAGAUCAACCUUCGAUCCAAAGGUGAAGCUAGUAAGUGAAGAUUUAGCCGCCGUGAGUUGAGUCGGUUGUCGCUUUGAUACGUAGCAUUCGGGGGGACAAAAAGAUUGUUUUUAUUAUUGUUUUAAUUGCUGAAUUUUAUUUGGUUUUGGUUUAAUUUGUAACUUGAAGUUACCGUGCAAAGAUGCUACAACAUUAUUUGAAUAUUCUUGAAGUUUGCUGAUUCCGCUGCGAGUUAAUUAUUGAAUUUGAACAAAGUGAUUUUUAGUAAUGAUUUGAUUUAUCGUUUUAAA
Vicia villosa (hairy vetch) is the source of this 1204-nucleotide long non-coding RNA. RefSeq lists it as uncharacterized. The record is from RefSeq and is a predicted model, not a curated record. NCBI's taxonomy places the organism in Eukaryota, Viridiplantae, Streptophyta, Magnoliopsida, Fabales, Fabaceae. The transcript is spliced from 2 exons.